CGCCUGUUUAACAAAAACAUGUCUUUAUUGAUAAUAAUUUAAAGUCUAACCUGCCCACUGAUGUAUUAUUAAAGGGCCGCGGUAUUUUGACCGUGCAAAGGUAGCAUAAUCAUUAGUUUUUUAAUUGGAAACUUGUAUGAAUGGUUGGACAAGGUAUCUACUGUCUCAUAUUUAUAUUUUGAAUUUUACUUUUUAGUGAAAAGGCUAAAAUAUUUUUGGAGGACGAGAAGACCCUAUAGAUCUUUAUAUUUAAUUUUAAUAUUAAUUUUGGUAUAUAUUAUUUAUAUUAAUUAUUAUUAUUUAGUUGGGGUGACUGGAAGAUUAAAUUAACUCUUCAUAUUUUAUAUACAAUAAUUAUUGAAUUAUUGAUCCAUUUUUAGUGAUUAUAAGAAUAAGUUACCUUAGGGAUAACAGCGUUAUCUUUUUUGAGAGUUGAUAUCUACAAAAAGGAUUGCGACCUCGAUGUUGGAUUAAA
Molecule: ribosomal RNA, 475 nt
Filed under: Tyrannophasma gladiator
Lineage: Eukaryota; Metazoa; Arthropoda; Insecta; Mantophasmatodea
Description: partial 16S large subunit ribosomal RNA
Rfam family: Archaeal large subunit ribosomal RNA
Source: RNAcentral